RNAcentral lists this ribosomal RNA (305 nucleotides) under uncultured bacterium. RNAcentral describes it as "bacterial SSU rRNA". It matches the Rfam family "Bacterial small subunit ribosomal RNA", at positions 334 to 655 of the family's 1533-position model. The record is from RNAcentral.
UUGUCCUACGGGGCGCAGCAGUGGGGGAUAUUGCACAAUGGGGGAAACCCUGAUGCAGCGACGCCGCGUGUGGGAAGACGGUCUUCUGGAUUGUAAACCACUGUCCCCAGGGACGAAAAUGACGGUACCUGGGGAGGAAGCUCCGGCUAACUACGUGCCAGCAGCCGCGGUAAUACGUAGGUGGCGAGCGUUAUCCGGAAUGAUUGGGCGUAAAGGGUGCGCAGGCGGUCCUGCAAGUCUGGAGUGAAACGCAUGAGCUCAACUCAUGCAUGGCUUUGGAAACUGGCGGACUGGAGGGCAGGAGG